Long non-coding RNA from Zalophus californianus (California sea lion), 239 nucleotides. RefSeq lists it as uncharacterized. The transcript is spliced from 3 exons. NCBI's taxonomy places the organism in Eukaryota, Metazoa, Chordata, Mammalia, Carnivora, Otariidae. The record is from RefSeq and is a predicted model, not a curated record.
AAAAAAGACUGCUCAGCUCCUCCUCUGGAUUAGCAAAUGCUCCUGGGCCAAAGCAGUUCCAAAUCUCAGGUGAUGACCUUGUCUCAUGUCUCAUGGAGAACACAGAAGAAAUCAGUACAUGAAGUUCUUCCUACUCAAUCUGAGGAAACCUUUCAGUCUGGAGAAUAAAUGAGGAGCCAAAUUUCUUCACCUCCCAUUUUUGUACACUCAGAGCACAGAGAAUUAAAAUUUAAAUAAAG